Peromyscus eremicus (cactus mouse) is the source of this 1582-nucleotide long non-coding RNA. RefSeq lists it as uncharacterized. The transcript has 4 exons. The record is from RefSeq and is a predicted model, not a curated record. Lineage: Eukaryota; Metazoa; Chordata; Mammalia; Rodentia; Cricetidae.
UGGGCUGCUCGCCGAGGCCCUAGCCUCCCGCUCCUAUAGCUAGAGGGCUGGUCCCGCCUCCCGGGAGCCGGUGGACUCUGGUCAGCCAACAUCUUCACUGCUCGGAUUGCGAGACCGCGGGAGAUUCAGAGCCAGGGGGAAACUACGGAUUGGAGUUUUCCAGAACCGGAGUCGGAUUACUUCUUUGAGCCUCGUUAGGGGAGAAACUUUGGCUUGCUCCUAGAAACCAAGAUGACCAGUGCGUUACAUCCUCAUCACUUGGGAAAAGAAUAAAUAUGGGAACCUAGGAAGAAGUAUUGAGAAAGCAAGCAUCAUGAUGCUUUGAGAUAGGAAGAAGUUGAAGAAAGUGUUUGUUCAAGUAAUCAAGUCGAAAACACUCAGGUUGCCAUCCACAUCCUCUCUCCAGUUCUCCCUGGUCUAUAACAGGAAUGCCCCUUACUCUACAGCAGGCACACUGUGCCAUGGGUCAAGAUGCCUUGCUUCAUGGGAGAACCUUGUUUGUUGUUCCCACCACUGACUCUGACCACAUAACCCUCCACUCUUCAUGCAAAGAAAGCAUCAGCAGCUCCUCUGUGGCCACGUACUUCUAAAAAGUAUGAAGCCUGUAUUUAUCAUCCACUCCAAUGAGUUUCUCACAGCCAGUGGCAGGGAAGGAAAUAUUCAACUUCAUCUUGAUACAGCCAACUGCCUAAGAAGCACCAUGAAAAACAAGCAAGAUGCACUACUUUUUAAUACUAGAAGACUUUUAAGGGUUCAAACUACAGCGUGCAAAGCCCAGCAAGUAUAUGAUAGGAUGUUAAAACCAAUGUCUGAUGCAUCCUGUAUGGCUCAAAGAACUUUUAUUAAAAGUGGUUCAACUCAAUCUAACUUUGUCCUUACUUUCAUAAAGCAAAGCUCAGUAACAAAACUUCAGCUGCUUCGUAUACCUACUGUACAGUUACACUUACCAAGGGCGCCCUCUGGUGGGCCACAGAAAGCACAUCCCCAGCUGAAGAUGCUUUUGGACCUCUCUACUGAACUGCCCUGAAGCAGUCACUGAAAAAGCAUGCCCAGCAGCUUGGGAGAAACAGAACAGGAAAGAACAGGCCUGGCCCUGCUGCACCGCUGAAGGUGAGGAAUGUGUUUGUCAGAUCCUCCCUGGGCCACAUGUGGUGAAGACUGACCACACAGCAGACUCUUCAGCCUCCCAGAGAGGCUGCUCCAGAGAGUCACACAGUCCCAUCCUUCGGCACCUGGCCUCACCCCUCCUGUUCCAAAAGCCUCUGGCGUGUUUCUAGCAUGAUCUCCUCCAUUACUUCUGGCUUUAAGAUAUCUUUAAUCUGAAGGAAAACAGAAAAAGGCUCCUUGUGUGCAGAGAAACAGCUCCAUCUGAGAACACUGCCUGGACCUCCGCCUGCCCAGGUGAUGAAGGAACAAGAACAGCCAUGGCAACCCACUCUCUGUCAUCUGCAUGCAUCCAGCUUGCCCUCCAUCACUGACAGGCCACCCUGCCUAUCUUACAUGACCCCAGGGGACAUCACUAUGACCUCACCUCUCCCCUUGGUUGGCAAGGGUAUCUUGAUACAAUCUUUGCUACUCUCUG